This 372-nucleotide long non-coding RNA is filed under the name Bos indicus x Bos taurus (hybrid cattle). Its description in RNAcentral is "lncRNA (ENSBIXG00005009013.1)". Lineage: Eukaryota; Metazoa; Chordata; Mammalia; Artiodactyla; Bovidae. The record is from RNAcentral.
UUUUGAAAUGUCUUUAGUGCAGGUUGUAUUAAUAUGGGAUUUAAAGAAGAUGGGUGGAUAUUGAGGAGCAAACCUGAAGUAAUAAUUGCCUCAAUUUAUUUCUCAGGAACCAAAAUUAGAGACAAAUGUGUCCCCUGUCUCCUUUCUGGAAGCACAGCCUCCUCAAAGCAGCUAUGCUUAAUUCAGAUACAAAGCCCUUAUCCCUCCCGGGUCCACCUGCAGCCCCGCCGCUUUCAUCAUUUCUCCCUGGAAUUCAUUCGGAUCAUAGUCGUUUUCAAGAGUGCGUGGAGACCAAGAGAGACGCCCUAAGUCCCUGGCUGGGGCCGCGGGCGUGAGUCAGCGUGGACCAGGCCGGCUGGGGCCGCGGGCGUG